RNAcentral lists this transfer RNA (56 nucleotides) under Ascaridia columbae. RNAcentral's name for it is "tRNA-Gly". The record is from RNAcentral. Lineage: Eukaryota; Metazoa; Nematoda; Chromadorea; Rhabditida; Ascaridiidae.
GAUUCUUUAGUAUAAUUUAGUAUGUUUAAUUUCCAAUUAAGUGGUUUAGAGAAUUA